Long non-coding RNA from Limulus polyphemus (Atlantic horseshoe crab), 328 nucleotides. RefSeq lists it as uncharacterized. The transcript has 3 exons. Lineage: Eukaryota; Metazoa; Arthropoda; Merostomata; Xiphosura; Limulidae. The record is from RefSeq and is a predicted model, not a curated record.
UGUUCUUCUAUUUUAGGUUGAUGAAUGUUAUGAACUCCGACAUGAUUUAACGUCUCAUGUGACCUCAAGGACUCUCUUCACGGAAUAGUAAGAUUUUGUUCCAAACCUAGUGAAGAUAUGAAUGUCCGUUGGUACAGACGACUUUUAUUGACAUUGAAUGUCCGUUGGUACAGACGACUUUUAUUGACAUUCUAUGAACUUCUGUUUUUUGAAGCACAGUUGGCAUGGGGAAAUAAAAAUUUCAGAGAGAUUGAGAAACGCGUCCUUGAUAAUAUUAUAGGACCAGGAAGGUACGAUAGCCGGAUUCGACCUCAUGGAGUCAACGAAA